UACGAAGGGGACUAGCGUUGUUCGGAAUCACUUGGCGUAAAGCGCACGUAGGCGGAUUUGUAAGUCAGGGGUGAAAUCCCGGGGCUCAACCUCGGAACUGCCUUUGAUACUGCGAAUCUUGAGUCCGAUAGAGGUGGGUGGAAUUCCUAGUGUAGAGGUGAAAUUCGUAGAUAUUAGGAAGAACACCGGUGGCGAAGGCGGCCCACUGGAUCGGUACUGACGCUGAGGUGCGAAAGCGUGGGGAGCAAACAGG
Molecule: ribosomal RNA, 253 nt
Filed under: uncultured bacterium
Lineage: Bacteria
Description: partial 16S ribosomal RNA
Rfam family: Bacterial small subunit ribosomal RNA
Source: RNAcentral